Molecule: ribosomal RNA, 295 nt
Filed under: uncultured bacterium
Lineage: Bacteria
Description: partial 16S ribosomal RNA
Rfam family: Bacterial small subunit ribosomal RNA
Source: RNAcentral
GAUGAACGCUGGCGGUAUGCCUAACACAUGCAAGUCGAACGGUGUAGAGACGUAGCAUUGCUACGUCUCUACAUAGUGGCGGACGGGUGAGUAACACGUGAGAAUCUGCCUUCAGGACGGGGACAACAGUGGGAAACCACUGCUAAUACCGGAUAAGCCGAAAGGUGAAAAUUUAUUGCCAGAAGAGGAGCUCGCGUCUGAUUAGCUAGAUGGGGAGGUAAAAGCUCACCAUGGCGACGAUCAGUAGCUGGUCUGAGAGGAUGAGCAGCCACACUGGGACUGAGACACGGCCCAG